This 104-nucleotide transfer RNA is filed under the name Nemania serpens. RNAcentral describes it as "tRNA-Trp". It matches the Rfam family "tRNA". Rfam says of the family: Transfer RNA (tRNA) molecules are approximately 80 nucleotides in length. Their secondary structure includes four short double-helical elements and three loops (D, anti-codon, and T loops). Further hydrogen bonds mediate the characteristic L-shaped molecular structure. tRNAs have two regions of fundamental functional importance: the anti-codon, which is responsible for specific mRNA codon recognition, and the 3' end, to which the tRNAs corresponding amino acid is attached (by aminoacyl-tRNA synthetases). tRNAs cope with the degeneracy of the genetic code in two manners: having more than one tRNA (with a specific anti-codon) for a particular amino acid; and 'wobble' base-pairing, i.e. permitting non-standard base-pairing at the 3rd anti-codon position. Lineage: Eukaryota; Fungi; Ascomycota; Sordariomycetes; Xylariales; Xylariaceae. The record is from RNAcentral.
GGACCUUUAGCUCAGCUGGUAGAGCAUGUGAUUCCAGUAUGGGAAAUCCUCAUUCCCUGUUCUUAGUUUCCACAAGGUCGUCCGUUCGAAUCGGGCAGGGUUCA